UUUAUAACGGGCCGGCGGACCUCCGGCCGAUCACGCUCGUGGAAAGCCGCGUAAUAAUGGACCGUGAAGGCUUCCUCGCAAUCCUAGUCGAGCUGGGUCUCAUCUGCUUGGGCGUGUAUCUCGGCUGGGUGGUCGCGGAGUUCCUCGUCCAAUGCUUUUACUUGACGAGGAAGGUGGUUCGCUGGAUCCGGGGCCGCGGCGACGGCCUGGCGGUGGGAGGGGAUGGCCAGGCCCAGGCGGCGGCGGCCGGCGCCGCGGUGUGAAGCUCCAACAACGCUGCUAGCUCCGGCAGGUGGACGUCCUCGACGAUUCUGACGGCGUCCCGUGGAAGAAGGCUUGCUGUGGAGCGGACAUGCGCCGGAGGAAGACGUACGGACGGACGUGGAGCUAGUAGCAUGCUAUUCUGGGAUCUGCUUGGACACUAUGAGUUGAAACGGCCAGCCUUGCCCUUCAUCAUCAGUUCUACUUCAUCCUGUGUCGUUGUUUUCUGCAUGCUCUGUGUUUGAUCGUACCUACUACUAGUACUCUAUAAUUCUGCUCUUGGUAGGGACUUUGAGUGUGUAAGUAUAGUAGAUGGAUCUGAAGUUUGGCAUGUAGUACUACGUGUCUGAGACCCUGUUCCGUCAACAACUUGUUAAUUAAUGAAGGGAGAGGUGGCCGUUAA
Triticum dicoccoides is the source of this 664-nucleotide long non-coding RNA. RefSeq lists it as uncharacterized. The transcript has 2 exons. The record is from RefSeq and is a predicted model, not a curated record. NCBI's taxonomy places the organism in Eukaryota, Viridiplantae, Streptophyta, Magnoliopsida, Poales, Poaceae.